UGACCCCUUUGCCUCGUCCUUUCUGUCGAAACUUAUCUUUAGCGAAAUGUGUAAUUCGUGGUCAACUAACCACCAUUUCACAGCAUUAAAAUCCCACCAGGUAGAGGCUAUAACCAGAACUAAUUUUAUUAGGUGAAACAAAGUAACUUACAAAUGUUAAGUAAACGUCAAUCUCCCCAGCAACUCAUGGAUGCAAAUAAACAAAAUUUCUUUAUAACAAAUAACGAGAUAAAAGUCCAUAUAAACGACGCAGGUACUGUAUUCGGAGAUCUGGCUGUCCAAACUCCACAAGACUUACAACAGUUCACAGCUGGCCUCACAGUAAAAACCACAACGAAGACCAAGGCCACACCAACAGCAAACAGAAGAGAGUAACACCACAGACAAAUGACGAACAUCACAACAUUGAUGUGUGGCUCCAUCCAGUGACAGGCUUUUAUAAAAAACUGUUUUGCAUAUUGUAAAAACAAAAUACUGUAAAACAAAAUAAAAUUUACUUGUAACAAAGAAAAACAUAUUAGUUAUCAACUUUUUC
RNAcentral lists this long non-coding RNA (535 nucleotides) under Androctonus crassicauda. The record is from RNAcentral. Lineage: Eukaryota; Metazoa; Arthropoda; Arachnida; Scorpiones; Buthidae.